RNAcentral lists this ribosomal RNA (433 nucleotides) under uncultured bacterium. Its description in RNAcentral is "partial 16S ribosomal RNA". It matches the Rfam family "Bacterial small subunit ribosomal RNA", at positions 29 to 507 of the family's 1533-position model. The record is from RNAcentral.
AACGAACGCUGGCGGCAUGCCUAAUACAUGCAAGUCGAACGAGAACUUCGGGUCUAGUGGCGCACGGGUGCGUAACGCGUGGGAACCUGCCCUUAGGUUCGGAAUAACUCCCCGAAAGGGGUGCUAAUACCGGAUAAUGUCAUCGGACCAAAGAUUUAUCGCCUUUGGAUGGGCCCGCGUUGGAUUAGCUAGUUGGUAGUGUAAAAGCCUACCAAGGCGACGAUCCAUAGCUGGUCUGAGAGGAUGAUCAGCCACACUGGGACUGAGACACGGCCCAGAAUCCUACGGGAGGCAGCAGUGGGGAGUAUUGGACGAUGGGCGAAAGCCUGGUCCAGCAAUGCCGCGUGUGUGAUGAAGGCCUUAGGGUUGUAAAGCUCUUUUACCCGGGAUGAUAAUGACAGUACCGGGAGAAUAAGCUCCGGCUAACUCCGUG